RNAcentral lists this ribosomal RNA (447 nucleotides) under uncultured bacterium. RNAcentral describes it as "bacterial SSU rRNA". It matches the Rfam family "Bacterial small subunit ribosomal RNA", at positions 355 to 825 of the family's 1533-position model. The record is from RNAcentral.
UCGGGAAUUUUGGGCAAUGGGGGAAACCCUGACCCAGCAACGCCGCGUGAAGGAUGAAGUAUUUCGGUAUGUAAACUUCGAAAGAAUAGGAAGAAUAAAUGACGGUACUAUUUAUAAGGUCCGGCUAACUACGUGCCAGCAGCCGCGGUAAUACAGAGGGUGCAAGCGUUAUCCGGAAUCACUGGGCGUAAAGGGUGUCGAGGCGGUUGUAUUAGUCGUUCGUAAAAUCUACGAGCUUAACUUGUAGGCGGCGAACGAAACGGUACGACUUGAGGUUUGGAGAGGUGCGUGGAACUCACGGUGUAGGGGUGAAAUCCGUUGAUAUCGUGGGGAACACCAAAGGCGAAGGCAGCGCACUGGCCAAAAUCUGACGCUCACACACGAAAGCUAGGGUAGCGAAGAGGAUUAGAUACCCGGGUAGUCCCUGAGCGGGCUGGCAAGGCGCAU